This 468-nucleotide ribosomal RNA is filed under the name uncultured bacterium. RNAcentral describes it as "partial 16S ribosomal RNA". It matches the Rfam family "Bacterial small subunit ribosomal RNA", at positions 28 to 507 of the family's 1533-position model. The record is from RNAcentral.
GACGAACGCUGGCGGCGUGCUUAACACAUGCAAGUCGAACGGAAAGGCCCUGCUUUUGUGGGGUGCUCGAGUGGCGAACGGGUGAGUAACACGUGAGUAACCUGCCCUUGACUUUGGGAUAACUUCAGGAAACUGGGGCUAAUACCGGAUAGGAGCUCCUGCUGCAUGGUGGGGGUUGGAAAGUUUCGGCGGUUGGGGAUGGACUCGCGGCGUAUCAGCGUGUUGGUGGGGUAGUGGCUUACCAAGGCUUUGACGGGUAGCCGGCCUGAGAGGGUGACCGGCCACAUUGGGACUGAGAUACGGCCCAGGCUCCUACGGGAGGCAGCAGUGGGGAAUGUUGCACAAUGGGCGGAAGCCUGAUGCAGCAACGCCGCGUGCGGGAUGACGGCCUUCGGGUUGUAAACCGCUUUCGCCUGUGACGAAGCGUGAGUGACGGUAAUGGGUAAAGAAGCACCGGCUAACUACGUG